AGUGAACGCUGGCGGUAGGCCUAACACAUGCAAGUCGAACGGCAGCACAGUAAGAGCUUGCUCUUACGGGUGGCGAGUGGCGGACGGGUGAGGAAUACAUCGGAAUCUACUUUUUCGUGGGGGAUAACGUAGGGAAACUUACGCUAAUACCGCAUACGACCUACGGGUGAAAGCAGGGGUUCUUCGGACCUUGCGCGAUUGAAUGAGCCGAUGUCGGAUUAGCUAGUUGGCGGGGUAAAGGCCCACCAAGGCGACGAUCCGUAGCUGGUCUGAGAGGAUGAUCAGCCACGCUGGAACUGAGACACGGUCCAGACUCCUACGGGAGGCAGCAGUGGGGAAUAUUGGGCAAUGGGCGCGAACCUGAUCCAGCCAUACCGCGUGGGUGGAGAAGGCCUUCGGGUUGUAAAGCCCUUUUGUUGGGAAAGAAAAGCAGCAGGUUAAUACCCCGCUGUUCUGACGGUACCCAAAGAAUAAGCACCGGCUAACUUCGUG
This 492-nucleotide ribosomal RNA is filed under the name uncultured bacterium. RNAcentral describes it as "partial 16S ribosomal RNA". It matches the Rfam family "Bacterial small subunit ribosomal RNA", at positions 29 to 507 of the family's 1533-position model. The record is from RNAcentral.